AUGCCAUGAUCUGGACAUGUUCUCAGUAGCUCUUUGUACCUUUUCCAUGCAUCAGGAACUUCUUCAUCAUUCAUUUGUAUAAAAAUGCAAAUUUCAUUUAUGGAUUU
Cynara cardunculus var. scolymus (artichoke) is the source of this 107-nucleotide small nucleolar RNA. The record is from RefSeq and is a predicted model, not a curated record. Lineage: Eukaryota; Viridiplantae; Streptophyta; Magnoliopsida; Asterales; Asteraceae.